RNAcentral lists this ribosomal RNA (460 nucleotides) under uncultured bacterium. RNAcentral describes it as "partial 16S ribosomal RNA". It matches the Rfam family "Bacterial small subunit ribosomal RNA", at positions 338 to 795 of the family's 1533-position model. The record is from RNAcentral.
CCUACGGGAGGCAGCAGUGAGGAAUAUUGGUCAAUGGGCGGAAGCCUGAACCAGCCAAGUAGCGUGCAGGAUGACGGCCCUACGGGUUGUAAACUUCUUUUAUACGGGAAUAACGCGCCUUCCGUGUCGUGCUUUGCAUGUACCGUAUGAAUAAGGACCGGCUAAUUCCGUGCCAGCAGCCGCUGUAAUACGGAAGGUCCGGUCGUUAUCCGGAUUUAUUGGUUUUACAGGGCGCGUAGGCAGGAUGUCAAGCAUGCUGUGAAAUUUCCGGGCUCAACCCGGGCCUUGCAGCGCGAACUGGCGUGCUUGAGUCCGCGGAAAGCAGGCGGAAUUCGUCGUGUAGCGGUGAAAUGCUUAGAUAUGACGAAGAACCCCGAUUGCGAAGGCAGCUUGCUGCAGCGGAACUGACGCUGAUGCUCGAAAGCGCGGGUAUCGAACAGGAUUAGAUACCCUAGUAGUC